Molecule: ribosomal RNA, 846 nt
Filed under: uncultured Actinomycetes bacterium
Lineage: Bacteria; Bacillati; Actinomycetota; Actinomycetes
Description: bacterial SSU rRNA
Rfam family: Bacterial small subunit ribosomal RNA
Source: RNAcentral
GCGGCGUGCUUAACACAUGCAAGUCGAACGAGGUCCAACCUUCGGGUGAAGACCGAGUGGCGAACGGGUGAGUAACACGUGGGGAACCUGCCCUUCUCUCUGGGAUAACUCCGGGAAACCGGAGCUAAUACCGGAUACUCCUUGCGGACCGCAUGGUCUGCUCGGGAAAGCUCCGGCGGAGAAGGAUGGCCCCGCGGCCCAUUAGCUUGUUGGUGGGGUAACGGCCCACCAAGGCGACGAUGGGUAGCCGAGCUGAGAGGCUGAUCGGCCACACUGGGACUGAGACACGGCCCAGACUCCUACGGGAGGCAGCAGUGGGGAAUCUUGCGCAAUGGGCGAAAGCCUGACGCAGCAACGCCGCGUGCGGGAUGAAGGCUCUCGGGUCGUAAACCGCUUUCAGCAGGGAUGAAAAUGACAGUACCUGCAGAAGAAGCCCCGGCUAAAUACGUGCCAGCAGCCGCGGUAAUACGUAUGGGGCAAGCGUUAUCCGGAUUCAUUGGGCGUAAAGCGCGCGUAGGCGGCUUGUUAAGUCAGGCGUGAAAUCCGGGGGCUCAACCCGCGGCUUGCGUCUGAAACUGGCAGGCUUGAGUCUGGUAGAGGAAAGUGGAAUUCCUGGUGUAGCGGUGAAAUGCGCAGAUAUCAGGAGGAACACCAGUGGCGAAGGCGGCUUUCUGGGCCACGACUGACGCUGAGGCGCGAAAGCUAGGGGAGCGAACAGGAUUAGAUACCCUGGUAGUCCUAGCCGUAAACGAUGGGCACUAGGUGUGGGGGGUCAUCGACUCCCUCCGUGCCGAAGCUAACGCAUUAAGUGCCCCGCCUGGGGAGUACGGNCGCAAGGCUAAAACU